RNAcentral lists this long non-coding RNA (313 nucleotides) under Glycine max (soybean). RNAcentral describes it as "long non-coding RNA (GMAX_LNC002012)". The record is from RNAcentral. Lineage: Eukaryota; Viridiplantae; Streptophyta; Magnoliopsida; Fabales; Fabaceae.
AAAAAAAAGUGAUCCCCCUUUUCUUGUUUGUCUUAUAUCCAUAUUUAUGGAGAUAGAAUUCAUGUCAUAAUUUAAAAAAUGAACAUGUAUAAUUCUUUUUCGUAAUAAAAAAUGAUGAGGGAGUUAUUGAUAAUUUGAAAAGAGUAUUUUAUGGAAGAAUUAAGUUAUUACUCAACAAAUUUGAAUUUGAAUUUUUUAAAGGAUGAGAUCAAUUCAGAAGUACUUUUUGUAUUUUUUAUUUAUUUAAAGAAAUGUUAAAAUGUAUUUUAUUUUUUCUUUAUUAAAUGUAUUUAUUUUAAAAAAAAAAAUUUUA